RNAcentral lists this ribosomal RNA (786 nucleotides) under Prauseria sp. 3450. Its description in RNAcentral is "bacterial SSU rRNA". It matches the Rfam family "Bacterial small subunit ribosomal RNA", at positions 64 to 852 of the family's 1533-position model. Lineage: Bacteria; Bacillati; Actinomycetota; Actinomycetes; Pseudonocardiales; Pseudonocardiaceae. The record is from RNAcentral.
GAGCGGUAAGGCCCUUCGGGGUACACGAGCGGCGAACGGGUGAGUAACACGUGAGCAACCUGCCCCUGACUCUGGGAUAAGCGGUGGAAACGCCGUCUAAUACCGGAUACGACCUUCCACCUCAUGGUGGAGGGUGGAAAGUUUUUUCGGUCAGGGAUGGGCUCGCGGCCUAUCAGCUUGUUGGUGGGGUAACGGCCUACCAAGGCGAUUACGGGUAGCCGGCCUGAGAGGGCGACCGGCCACACUGGGACUGAGACACGGCCCAGACUCCUGCGGGAGGCAGCAGUGGGGAAUAUUGCGCAAUGGGCGAAAGCCUGACGCAGCGACGCCGCGUGGGGGAUGACGGCCUUCGGGUUGUAAACCUCUUUUACCACCAACGCAGGCUCCGGGUUCUCUCGGGGUUGACGGUAGGUGGGGAAUAAGGACCGGCUAACUACGUGCCAGCAGCCGCGGUAAUACGUAGGGUCCGAGCGUUGUCCGGAAUUAUUGGGCGUAAAGAGCUCGUAGGCGGCGUGUCGCGUCUGCUGUGAAAGACCGGGGCUUAACUCCGGUUCUGCAGUGGAUACGGGCAUGCUAGAGGUAGGUAGGGGAGACUGGAAUUCCUGGUGUAGCGGUGAAAUGCGCAGAUAUCAGGAGGAACACCGGUGGCGAAGGCGGGUCUCUGGGCCUUACCUGACGCUGAGGAGCGAAAGCAUGGGGAGCGAACAGGAUUAGAUACCCUGGUAGUCCAUGCCGUAAACGUUGGGCGCUAGGUGUGGGGACUUUCCACGGUUUCCGCGCCGUAGC